CGUAGGGGGCAAGCGUUGUCCGGAAUCAUUGGGCGUAAAGAGCGUGUAGGCGGCCCGGUAAGUCCGUUGUGAAAGUCCAGGGCUCAACCCUGGAAAGCCGAUGGAUACUGCCGGGCUAGAGUUCGGAAGAGGCGAGUGGAAUUCCUGGUGUAGCGGUGGAAUGCGCAGAUAUCAGGAGGAACACCAAUAGCGAAGGCAGCUCGCUGGGACGGUACUGACGCUGAGGCGCGAAAGCGUGGGGAGCAAACAGG
Molecule: ribosomal RNA, 251 nt
Filed under: uncultured bacterium
Lineage: Bacteria
Description: partial 16S ribosomal RNA
Rfam family: Bacterial small subunit ribosomal RNA
Source: RNAcentral